UCCCUGGUGGGCCAGUGGCCAAGACUCUGCACUCUCAAUGCAGGGAGCCUGGGUUCAAUUCCUGGUCAGGGGG
Molecule: transfer RNA, 73 nt
Organism: Ovis aries (sheep)
Lineage: Eukaryota; Metazoa; Chordata; Mammalia; Artiodactyla; Bovidae
Rfam family: tRNA
About the family: Transfer RNA (tRNA) molecules are approximately 80 nucleotides in length. Their secondary structure includes four short double-helical elements and three loops (D, anti-codon, and T loops).
Source: Rfam